UCACCAAUACUAAACUCUGGGUUUUGCGUUUCUUUCUCCAACUCAGCUGACAAAAGCUGGAUGUUUUUCCCAGCUUAGAAACACCGAAAUCCACGAAAGACUCCAAUGAUGUAGCGCAAAACUUCUCUUCUCCUUCAAUGGUUGGUGUUUCACAAUCCUCGAUUGUUUUUUUGAGUAUUUUGGAUUCUGCAGAUUUUGGUUGCACCGAGAAAUAGUUCAAGACUUGCGCAAACUUUUUAGUUGAAAAGGGGAGUGAGUCCGCAACUGGACGCGGUAAGAAAGCAGUUUUGCUGGCUUUACUGGUUAGCACCUUUAAGUUCAUCUUAGUACCAGGUCGAAGCUUACUCUCAAAAAAGAAAACGUCCUUAUUGGUUGCCAUAUUUCCAUCUCCAAACUCUUGUUUUGAAUUGCCUGCUGCGUUUUCAUAAUUCCUAUUACCCUCUGCCAUAUUUCCUUUGUACCUUUUGAUCAUAUUAGCCAAAGCAUUUUUCAUGUGAUUUCCUACAUAUAUUUCAUUUGCAGAGAGAUAUCUAGAGCAUUAGAAGACUUACCUGAAUUAUAUAUGUCUACUCAAUCAUUGAGGAAAAGAAAAGAAAAUUGAAAACAAACCAGCAGCAGCAGGGGGGAUUAAAAGAUUUUGCAAGGCUUUGGGCAUUGGAGUGUUUGGGAACACAGACGUCCAGUACAUCUCUGCUGGUAG
Molecule: long non-coding RNA, 700 nt
Filed under: Gossypium barbadense (sea-island cotton)
Lineage: Eukaryota; Viridiplantae; Streptophyta; Magnoliopsida; Malvales; Malvaceae
Description: long non-coding RNA (GBAR_LNC003654)
Source: RNAcentral